UACCAUCUCUUAUAUUGUUCUAAGUGAAAGGCAGAACUUUCAUUUGAGCUCAGCCAUUGGAUCAGUUCAUGCAGUUGGUCUGAUUUAUCUUCUGCUAGCUCAGCUGCGUACUAACCUUUCAAUCGCAAACAAAAUGUGCUUAGAGUAAGUCUAAAGAUUACUCCAUAAAAGAAUAAUAUGUGGUUGUAAAUUUACAGCAGGUGAAGAAAGUUACGCCUUAGUAAUGCUGUGGAAGUGAUAGAGCAGUAAGUAGUGUGAAUCAAAACUCAUAGGUUAGUUUCUGGAUUUCUCUGCUACUAAAAAUUGUCCAAAGACAUAUUGAAGGCUGCACACAAUAAUAUUAGUGUGGGAGUCCAUUCAUCACAUGGUCAUUAGAUUGAGUAUGAUUCAUAUUGCUGCUAUCCCCAAGUGCUGUAGUUGCCUGGUGAGUUUAAAAAUACUGAGCAAAUUACUCUUUUGAUUUGCUGUCUUGGUGAAGGAUUCGAGAUAUUGCUACGUACAUUUUAAGCACCAUCUAAAUAUGUAUCAUGUUUCCCUCUCACACAUUUGAUCUCCCUGGACUAAUGACAGUGCAGUAUGCUGCAUGCUCCCUUUCUCGUGCUGACGUUUAACUGGGGGUUUGUGAAGACCUCUCUCUCUUCUGUACUUCCUUAAAGCGUUUCCAGAUGACUUUGCUGUUACGUAGCACCAUAGCCUCGUGGUAUGACUUUAUCCCAGAGGUCAGAGGAGUAAGCUUGACUGAUAAGCCUUUUAAGCUUGAAAGCACUUUCCUCCCUGCUGGGAAGCCACAUGAUUACAUUUGCGAGAAAGAUUUUUUGGCCUUGAGGAGUUGUGUGUUUGAGAAUCAUGGCGUUGGAGUUCACUAGUGGACCGGGCAUGCCUCCUCCCCUGCAAGCCCUAUGGAGGUGUGUGUGACCAGGUUUUCUUCACCAGUGGAGGCACAUGUUGCAACUACACCCAGCAUGAGUCAGAGCUCCUGUUCUUGCAUCCUUAUCAAAAGAUUCCUUGUGUUGACCUCUACUGCUCAGGAACACAGAAAGUUAAACAGGGAUGGCCCAGCCAUUUUAGUGCUUCAGUGGCAGUCGGUGCUGCUGGUCAGAAAAACAACGCAUGAAGCCAGUCAGAUUAAUUUUAUUUACCUGAAGUAGAAAAGUUCUUUGUGGGACAAAAAGAGAAAUCAGAAGCUCUUGGCUGGUACCAUAAAGGAAAAUCUUAUUGAUUCAUCAUAUUCUCC
Long non-coding RNA from Centrocercus urophasianus (Greater sage-grouse), 1234 nucleotides. RefSeq lists it as uncharacterized. Lineage: Eukaryota; Metazoa; Chordata; Aves; Galliformes; Phasianidae. The record is from RefSeq and is a predicted model, not a curated record. The transcript is spliced from 3 exons.